This 327-nucleotide small nuclear RNA is filed under the name Heterocephalus glaber (naked mole-rat). RNAcentral's name for it is "7SK RNA". It matches the Rfam family "7SK RNA". From Rfam's summary of the family: 7SK was discovered as an abundant small nuclear RNA in the mid-70s but a possible function has only recently been suggested. Two independent studies have found that 7SK RNA binds the CDK9/cyclin T complex (known as elongation factor P-TEFb). P-TEFb activates transcription by phosphorylating the C-terminal domain of RNA polymerase II. The record is from Rfam by way of RNAcentral. Lineage: Eukaryota; Metazoa; Chordata; Mammalia; Rodentia; Bathyergidae.
AGAUCUAAGAGCAAUCUGGCUGGGUCAUCUGUCAUCCUAUUGAUCGCCAGGGUUGAUUCAGCUAAGGUGGGUGUUUCCUUCCUCCCUCACCACUCCACAUGCAUCCCUCCUGAAGCUGCAUGCUUGGUCAACAAAGACGACCACCAAGGAGGACUGUUUCCUUGGUCGAAGGUAUACAAGUAGCUCCGCUCCCCUGCUAGGACCUCCAAACAAGCUCUCAAGAAAAGUUCCCUGACCUUUCCCAGGUGUAGUGAUUCAUACCUGUAAUACCAGCGCUUCAGAGACUGAGGCAGGAGGAUUUUUGUGAGUUUGAGGCCUGCCUGAAUU